CAACAACCACCACGGCGGCAAAAUAUCACCGGAAAUUACAAAAAAAGGAGGGGAAAAGCUGCUUUUUGGGGGUUGAAGAUAAUGGAAAAUCAUGCUUUUUUUCCAAUAAAGGUGGUUUCCUGGACGUAAAAUGCAAGGGAAGAAAAAGCGAGAGAAAAGGGGUUGACGGAAUUCUGUGAAGGUUGAAGAUAAGGGAAUUCAAGUGAAGAAGUAUGGAAAAGAAAGGAAAAAGGAGGAAAAUUAUUGAUGAAGAAUGGUUGUUAUUGGAAGAGAAAAACAUGGAGAUUACUGUUUGUUUCUCGAGAAUUUUGGUUUACCUGAAAUCGAAAUAUCUCUCUCCCUCUCUCAGGCUCUGCACCUCUGCAGGACGAACAGUGGAAGACAUUUUCUUUAUUUUUGGGGUCAAAGUGUUAAUUUUUAUAAACUAAAAUGAUCCCUGAAGUUUAAAAAAUGAGGUAUGUCCCCCAUAACGUAUAUCCAUUUGUGGAAUGGACUAUUGUCGUGUUAAACGUGUCAUGAUGUGAGUGAUUUGGAAUUUAAUGGCCCAAUGAGAUUGAGUUUUACAUACA
Molecule: long non-coding RNA, 569 nt
Organism: Nicotiana tabacum (common tobacco)
Lineage: Eukaryota; Viridiplantae; Streptophyta; Magnoliopsida; Solanales; Solanaceae
Source: RefSeq, a predicted model, not a curated record